Molecule: long non-coding RNA, 1597 nt
Organism: Toxotes jaculatrix (banded archerfish)
Lineage: Eukaryota; Metazoa; Chordata; Actinopteri; Toxotidae
Exons: 3
Source: RefSeq, a predicted model, not a curated record
AGCGGGCUGUCCCUUACGGACCGAUAUGGACUCUCCUUCUGGAGAACCUUCUCUGAGGGACAGGCACGUACUAUAAAGGAAGUGGGAUGCAUUCAAGAACCACGCUGUCUUUGAGGAACACACCGCAUGUACCAGUGAGACCGAGACAUUCAGAGCACAAAAGCUGAAAAUGUGCCUCACGUUUUUAUGUUGGGUUCGGUGACAUCCAGUUAUUCCCAGCAUAGCUUCAUCCAGCUUCAGCUUUACUCGAAGGCUAAUUACGGAGAGAAGUGCAAACACCUUUGAAGGCCCUUUCCACUGCCCAUAUCAGAGGUGCCACCAUCCAGUGUGACUUGAUGCACCAGGACAGGCUGGGACCCCUCAGCAGGCCCACAGUGGACAGCUGUGAUUACUGCUGACAAUAAUUUAUGGUCCCUUCUGAUUGAAAACAUGAGAGCUGGAGAUAGAAGGGCUGGAGUCAAGGCACCACCUUAAGAUAUAAAACUGAGGCCGCAGCUGCUGUCAGAAGCAGGACUCCUGCCAAGCUCUGCAGGCCUUCUGCCCAUCCAGACACACACAAGCUCUCAUUUUGCUUUCUUUUUCCUUCUUUUAUAUUUUCCUUCCUCCUUGUCUUUGCCUGGAUGUAGUCCUCCUCUACAUUGUGUCUCUCAUCAAUUCUGUUUGUGCAUUUUACUCAUACAUUUUGCUCUCCAAUUUUAACUUAAUGCAACAUGAUACUGAAUGUUCGUCUCAGAGAAAUCAAAUUAAAUUUAACUUAAUCAUGCAAAAGAGGUUGUUCAUUUGAUUAGAAUUGCAAAGAACACACAGAAGUGGUACUGAACUACAUAAAGUAAAACCAAAAAGACACUCCAUGAAAGGAACAACACAAAAAUAUGGUCUUGAGGAAUUCUUGAUUCGCAAUAAUUGCGCAAAAUGAAAGAGGAAAAAAUACUUAUCCGCCCUGGCUGAUCAGGUGUCUCUACAGUGAGCUUUUCCAGCCCUGAGAUUACCAUGCUAAUCCUAACAAUAGCACUGUGCAGCUGGUUUGAACAACUAUCUGCACCAUUGUUUAUGUUGUCAUCCCUGCUGGAUCGUACUCAUUAGGAGUAACCAUUUUAGUGGAUUUGCAUUUACUAUUUCAAUGCCACAUCGAGGGAUAAAGAUCCCUUCCUCUAAAAUGAUGUAUGUUCUGGGUAUUAUGUUCUAUUUCUAAAAGAGACCUUGAACCAAAGAGAAGAUGCAGCAAAGCUCUUGUGUAUAUAAAAACUGAAAUUAAACAAUCCCUAGAUUGAACUGAAAAAGAUUUAAAUGGAAUCUGAUGGAAUGAAAUUGCAAAUACACUUGAGUAAAAAGAUUUGCUUUUAAAACCGGUUAUCUCAGAUUCUUCCUCUGAUUUCCUCUGUGGUUCUUGGUCAUGCCAAAUAGAAAACUGAAUGUUUAAUCACGUUUAUGUGUAUCAACUUAUAAAUAGAAUUAAUGAAAGUAUAUACUGUACUUAUACAAUGUUUUUUUCAUGAGGUUUGAAUUCUAGUUGUGUAAUAAUUGCUACAAUAUCAGAUAUUUCUUCUAUGAAUUGCCAAAACAUAUUCAAUACUGUGGACUUACAACAUCAUGCAAA